UCAUUUUUGUGUUGAUGUUGUUACUGUUUUAUUUAACCUCAAACUGUUUGUUGGUUAAAGUUGAUUAUAUAGGCUACUUUUAAAAGAUUAGUUAUCACAUUUCUUAGAUCUUAACAGUUUAAAUUUUUUAAUAAACUACAUAAUUGUUAUAAAAUAAUAGUUCUCUGGUUGAAAGCAAUUCAAAUUUAUGUUAACUGAUUCAGUUAUGACUUUCAAUCAACAUUUACAGGAAAUAAUUAUUACAAAUAAAACCUCUGAUUAAAUUAUAAUGAUUAUAUUCAUACUUCAUGUUUGAAAAACGGUCAAAGUUUAUAUUAUUAUAUGAUAUAAGCUAACUUGUUUUACUUGGUAAUAGAAAUCAAAUUGUAUUUGUGUGUGUGAUUCAUGAGACGCACUUUCACUCAUUAAACACUUUUUCUCAAUAAACAUUUCCAGAAUUCUCUGAAUACUGAUAACCAUUGGAAGCAAGUUUAAAUAGACAAUAAGUAUUUAUAAUUUUGCUGCUGAAAUAAUGGUUACCCUUCCUAGAAUCGCAGUGGUUGGAAGUGGACCAGCAGGAUUCUAUGUUACUCAACAGAUUUUGAAGCGUAGCAAAGAAGCAAAAGUCGAUUUAUACGACAGACUACCUGUGCCUUUUGGUUUGGUGAGAUACGGAGUUGCCCCAGACCAUCAAGACGUCAAAAACUGUAUAAAUCAGUUCACCAAAACUGCUAAAAAUCCAAACGUGCGAUUCAUCGGAAACGUUCAGUUGGGAAGAGACGUAAGUCUCAAACAGUUGAAAGAUGCUUAUCAUUCUGUUGUUCUGGCUUACGGAGCUGACAGUGAUAAGGAAUUUGGCAUACCCGGUGAGAGUUUGCGGAACGUGAUAUCGGCCAGAUCGUUUGUUGGUUGGUACAAUGGCCUGCCGGAAGACCAGGGACUUGUGCCUGACCUGAGCUGUGAGGAUGUAGUCGUGCUCGGACAGGGGAAUGUUGCCAUCGAUGUGUCUCGUGUUCUGCUCAAAUCAGUUGAUGUACUCAAGACGUCAGAUAUAACAGAAAACGCAUUGGAAAUACUUUCGAAAAGCCGAGUGAAACGGGUUCAUCUGGUUGGACGAAGAGGUCCCCUGCAAGUAGCAUUCACAAUCAAAGAAUUCAGGGAAAUGGUGAAGUUGCCCAAUGCCACUACUUUGUUCAGACCAGAGCAAUUGGUGGGACUGGAAAGCGUCAUCCCUAGUAGGUCUAAAACGUCAACGAGUCCGUUUAAUGCAGCUGAUAGCUGAUACAGGCCGCAAUAAUUUGACUACAGUAGAUUGUGACAAGCUUUUCAAAGUAAUAUUCUUAAGAUCACCUCUUGAAAUACUUGGCGAUAGCUGUGUGUCUGGUGUCAAGCUCUCUGUCAACAAACUUGAAGGAUCUGACAUAAAUAGUCAACACGCUGUUCCAACUGGUGAAUAUGAAAGUAUAAACUGUGGAAUGGUUUUGCGUAGUAUUGGAUACCGUAGUCGACAAGUUGAUGAAUCUGUUCCUUUCGAUACAAAAAAUUGUGUAGCUUUACAGCAACCAGGAUUGUAUUGUGCUGGAUGGCUUGCAAAUGGUCCGACCGGUGUUAUACUAACAACUAUGGCCGAGUCAUUUCUCGUUGGAGAGAAGGUUGCCAA
Molecule: unclassified non-coding RNA, 1639 nt
Filed under: Nilaparvata lugens (brown planthopper)
Lineage: Eukaryota; Metazoa; Arthropoda; Insecta; Hemiptera; Delphacidae
Description: nADPH:adrenodoxin oxidoreductase, mitochondrial-like, transcript variant X1
Source: RNAcentral